ACGGAAGGCAGCAGUGGGGAAUAUUGCACAAUGGGCGAAAGCCUGAUGCAGCGACGCCGCGUGAGUGAAGAAGUAUCUCGGUAUGUAAAGCUCUAUCAGCAGGGAAGAAAAUGACGGUACCUGACUAAGAAGCCCCGGCUAACUACGUGCCAGCAGCCGCGGUAAUACGUAGGGGGCAAGCGUUAUCCGGAUUUACUGGGUGUAAAGGGAGCGUAGACGGUUUGGCAAGUCUGAAGUGAAAUGCGGGGGCUCAACUCCUGAACUGCUUUGGAAACUGUCGAACUAGAGUGCAGGAGAGGUAAGUGGAAUUCCUAGUGUAGCGGUGAAAUACGUAGAUAUUAGGAGGAACACCAGUGGCGAAGGCGGCUUACUGGACUGUAACUGACGUUGAGGCUCGAAAGCGUGGGGAGCAAACAGGAUUAGAUACCCUGGUA
RNAcentral lists this ribosomal RNA (434 nucleotides) under uncultured Clostridium sp. RNAcentral's name for it is "partial 16S ribosomal RNA". It matches the Rfam family "Bacterial small subunit ribosomal RNA", at positions 341 to 792 of the family's 1533-position model. RNAcentral also lists the same sequence under 1 other name. The record is from RNAcentral. Lineage: Bacteria; Bacillati; Bacillota; Clostridia; Eubacteriales; Clostridiaceae.